Molecule: ribosomal RNA, 460 nt
Filed under: uncultured bacterium
Lineage: Bacteria
Description: partial 16S ribosomal RNA
Rfam family: Bacterial small subunit ribosomal RNA
Source: RNAcentral
CCUACGGGAGGCAGCCGUGAGGAAUAUUGGUCAAUGGACGAGAGUCUGAACCAGCCAAGUAGCGUGAAGGAUGACUGCCCUAUGUGUUGUAAACUUCUUUUAUAAAGGAAUAAAACGAGGCACGUGUGCCUUUUUGCAUGUACUUUAUGAAUACGGAUCGGCUAACUCCGUGCCAGCAGCCGCGGUAAUACGGAGGAUCCGAGCGUUAUCCGGAUUUAGUGGGUUUAAAGGGAGCGUAGAUGGGUUGUUAAGUCAGUUGUGAAAGUUUGCGGCUCAACCGUAAAAUUGCAAUUGAUACUGGCAGUCUUGAGUACAGUUGAGGUAGGCGGAAUUCGUGGUGUAGCGGUGAAAUGCUUAGAUAUCACGAAGAACCCCGAUUGCGAAGGCAGCUUACUAAACUGUGACUGACAUUGAUGCUCGAAAGUGUGGGUAUCAAACAGGAUUAGAUACCCUUGUAGUC